RNAcentral lists this ribosomal RNA (426 nucleotides) under Vibrio sp. R-77. Its description in RNAcentral is "bacterial SSU rRNA". It matches the Rfam family "Bacterial small subunit ribosomal RNA", at positions 258 to 676 of the family's 1533-position model. The record is from RNAcentral. Lineage: Bacteria; Pseudomonadati; Pseudomonadota; Gammaproteobacteria; Vibrionales; Vibrionaceae.
UAAGGGCUCACCAAGGCGACGAUCCCUAGCUGGUCUGAGAGGAUGAUCAGCCACACUGGAACUGAGACACGGUCCAGACUCCUACGGGAGGCAGCAGUGGGGAAUAUUGCACAAUGGGCGCAAGCCUGAUGCAGCCAUGCCGCGUGUAUGAAGAAGGCCUUCGGGUUGUAAAGYACUUUCAGUCGUGAGGAAGGCGGUGUCGUUAAUAGCGGCAUUGUUUGACGUUAGCGACAGAAGAAGCACCGGCUAACUCCGUGCCAGCAGCCGCGGUAAUACGGAGGGUGCGAGCGUUAAUCGGAAUUACUGGGCGUAAAGCGCAUGCAGGUGGUUUGUUAAGUCAGAUGUGAAAGCCCGGGGCUCAACCUCGGAAUAGCAUUUGAAACUGGCAGACUAGAGUACUGUAGAGGGGGGUAGAAUUUCAGGUGU